This 90-nucleotide transfer RNA is filed under the name Sclerotinia borealis F-4128. It matches the Rfam family "tRNA". Rfam says of the family: Transfer RNA (tRNA) molecules are approximately 80 nucleotides in length. Their secondary structure includes four short double-helical elements and three loops (D, anti-codon, and T loops). Lineage: Eukaryota; Fungi; Ascomycota; Leotiomycetes; Helotiales; Sclerotiniaceae. The record is from Rfam by way of RNAcentral.
UCUUUGAUGGUCUAAUGGUCAUGAUUUCCGCUUGUCAUCCUUUGUGACAAUGAUCCGCGGGAGAUCGGGGUUCGAUUCCCCGUCAGAGAG